RNAcentral lists this ribosomal RNA (429 nucleotides) under Verrucomicrobiota bacterium. RNAcentral's name for it is "Verrucomicrobia bacterium partial 16S ribosomal RNA". It matches the Rfam family "Bacterial small subunit ribosomal RNA", at positions 355 to 776 of the family's 1533-position model. Lineage: Bacteria; Pseudomonadati; Verrucomicrobiota. The record is from RNAcentral.
UAGGGAAUCUUCGGCAAUGGGGGGAACCCUGACCGAGCAACGCCGCGUGAGUGAAGAAGGUUUUCGGAUCGUAAAGCUCUGUUGUUAAGGAAGAACGAGUGUGAGAAUGGAAAGUUCAUGCUGUGACGGUACUUAACCAGAAAGGGACGGCUAACUACGUGCCAGCAGCCGCGGUAAUACGUAGGUCCCGAGCGUUGUCCGGAUUUAUUGGGCGUAAAGCGAGCGCAGGCGGUUAGAAAAGUCUGAAGUGAAAGGCAGUGGCUCAACCAUUGUAGGCUUUGGAAACUGUUUAACUUGAGUGCAGAAGGGGAGAGUGGAAUUCCCUGUGUAGCGGUGAAAUGCGUAGAUAUAUGGAGGAACACCGGUGGCGAAAGCGGCUCUCUGGUCUGUAACUGACGCUGAGGCUCGAAAGCGUGGGGAGCGAACAGG